This 567-nucleotide ribosomal RNA is filed under the name Trigonopterus pseudanalis. RNAcentral describes it as "SSU rRNA". It matches the Rfam family "Eukaryotic small subunit ribosomal RNA", at positions 23 to 568 of the family's 1831-position model. Lineage: Eukaryota; Metazoa; Arthropoda; Insecta; Coleoptera; Curculionidae. The record is from RNAcentral.
GUCAUAUGCUUGUCUCAAAGAUUAAGCCAUGCAUGUCUCAGUACAAGCCAAAUUAAGGUGAAACCGCGAAAGGCUCAUUAAAUCAGUUAUGGUUCCUUAGAUCGUACCCACAAUUACUUGGAUAACUGUGGUAAUUCUAGAGCUAAUACACGCAAACAGAGCUCCGACCGGAGACGGAAGGAGUGCUUUUAUUAGAUCAAAACCAAUCGGUGGCGGGUUCGCUCGUUAUCGUACAACUUGGUGACUCUGAAUAACUUUACGCUGAUCGCACGGUCAUCGCACCGGCGACGCAUCUUUCAAAUGUCUGCCUUAUCAACUGUCGAUGGUAGGUUCUGCGCCUACCAUGGUUGUAACGGGUAACGGGGAAUCAGGGUUCGAUUCCGGAGAGGGAGCCUGAGAAACGGCUACCACAUCCAAGGAAGGCAGCAGGCGCGCAAAUUACCCACUCCCGGCACGGGGAGGUAGUGACGAAAAAUAACGAUACGGGACUCAUCCGAGGCCCCGUAAUCGGAAUGAGUACACUCUAAACCCUUUAACGAGGAUCAAUUGGAGGGCAAGUCUGGUGCC